This 511-nucleotide ribosomal RNA is filed under the name uncultured bacterium. Its description in RNAcentral is "partial 16S ribosomal RNA". The record is from RNAcentral.
GGAGUUAGCCGGUGCUUCUUCUGUGAGUGAUGUCCUUCCUGCCGGCUAUUAACCCGCAGGCCUUCUUCCUCACUGAAAGUGCUUUACAACCCGAAGGCCUUCUUCACACACGCGGCAUGGCUGGAUCAGGGUUGCCCCCAUUGUCCAAUAUUCCCCACUGCUGCCUCCCGUAGGAGUCUGGGCCGUGUCUCAGUCCCAGUGUGGCUGAUCAUCCUCUCAGACCAGCUACGGAUCGUCGCCUUGGUGAGCCGUUACCUCACCAACCAGCUAAUCCGACAUAGGCUCAUCCGAUAGCGCGAGGCCCGAAGGUCCCCCGCUUUCCCCCGUAGGGCGUAUGCGGUAUUAGCCUGGGUUUCCCCAGGUUAUCCCCCACUACCGGGGCAGAUUCCUAUGCAUUACUCCACCCGUCCGCCGCUCGCCACCAGGAGCAGCUCCCGUCGCUGCCGCUCGACUGCAUGUGUUAGGUCCGUCGCCGCCACGCGUUCACUCUGAGCCAGAAUACAACUACUGA